AACGAACGCUGGCGGCAUGCCUAACACAUGCAAGUCGAACGAGACCUUCGGGUCUAGUGGCGCACGGGUGCGUAACGCGUGGUAACCUGCCCUUAGGUUCGGAAUAACUCCCCGAAAGGGGUGCUAAUACCGGAUAAUGUCUUCGGACCAAAGAUUUAUCGCCUUUGGAUGGGCCCGCGUUGGAUUCGCUAGUUGGUAGGGUAAAAGCCUACCAAGGCGACGUUCCAUAGCUGGUCUGAGAGGAUGAUCAGCCACACUGGGACUGAGACACGGCCCAGACUCCUACGGGAGGCAGCAGUGGGGAAUAUUGGACAAGGGGGGAAAGCGUGAUACAGCAAUGCCGCGUGAGUGAUGAAGGCCUUAGGGUUGUAAAGCUCUUUUACCCGGGAUGAUAAUGACAGUACCGGGAGAAUAAGCUCCGGCUAACUCCGUG
This 433-nucleotide ribosomal RNA is filed under the name uncultured bacterium. RNAcentral's name for it is "partial 16S ribosomal RNA". It matches the Rfam family "Bacterial small subunit ribosomal RNA", at positions 29 to 507 of the family's 1533-position model. The record is from RNAcentral.